Nothoprocta perdicaria is the source of this 723-nucleotide long non-coding RNA. RefSeq lists it as uncharacterized. The record is from RefSeq and is a predicted model, not a curated record. NCBI's taxonomy places the organism in Eukaryota, Metazoa, Chordata, Aves, Tinamiformes, Tinamidae. The transcript is spliced from 2 exons.
UGCUGGAAUUCCCUGGUUCCGUCUGUGGGUAUAAUGCUGCAYACUGCCCAGCCGGAGGCUGCUUUGGACUCGGGAGCCUGUUAUGUCUUUAUGGCUGUUCACAUACAGAUAUUGGAGUUCACUGUGCAAACGUGUCUUUAUUUUACUAACAUACAUCCUCAUUUUAUUUCUGCAGUCUACACUCGCUGCAAAAUACGCUGAUAGAACACAGUAUCCUUCUUGCUAACCAGGAUCUGGACUUAGAAAAGUCCAGCGUCAAACUAGGGCCUGAACGGUUCUUAUCCCUGGAUUUGAUGCUGUUUCAGGUUGGUUCUGCAGAUGGUGAGAUUCACAUUUCAAGUCUGACUGUGAACUCUGCAUUAAACUUGGAUCUGGGGAACAAGAGUUGCUCUUGCAUGUGCAUUUCCUGAUUGCCUUGCUCCAGCAAGAUGUUGUCAUUUAUUUAUUUUUCCUCACAUUUCCUGUUAAUGUUUCCACUGGCUAGGCAGAUCUCCUCUGUGUAUUUUUUUGGUACAUCUGCUGUAUUUCUGAUCAGGAAACUUAGUACUCCUGAGAUUUGUUUACACUUCCCUUCCCCGAGAAUUUUCCCUGCUAUCUUUUGUACCAUUCUUCUGCUGCUUCCUUACUGGGUCACUUGCUAGCCUUUUUACUAGCUCAGACAGCUGUGCUAAUUACAGCACCUGCUGCAGGGUUAUGCACAUAUUGCAUAUAUAUAUAUAUAUG